This 713-nucleotide long non-coding RNA is filed under the name Ictidomys tridecemlineatus (thirteen-lined ground squirrel). Its description in RNAcentral is "lncRNA (ENSSTOG00000029675.1)". Lineage: Eukaryota; Metazoa; Chordata; Mammalia; Rodentia; Sciuridae. The record is from RNAcentral.
UAAACAUGGUAAUAAAAGGACAAAUCAGUGCCCAGAUUGUGCAUCUGAAGCAAGGGGCUGGCUCUGGUGCUUUAAGACACAGGAGACCCCUGGGCUCCCACUCUGACCUCACCACUCCCCAGGUCUCAAAGGAAAACAAGAAAAGGAGUGGGCUGAAAAGAAUAAAUAAGUGCCACGGGCCAGUUUUUGCAGACUCCUCCAUCAAGCUCCAUGGGCCUUGGAGAAAAUCGGAAGGCCUGUAUUUGGUUACAGUAAGACUCCAUCAGAAUUUGAAGACACAUCCAAGAAAACAUCACCUGAAGUAGAAACUGGCAAAACCAAUACCUAGGGGAUGCUCUUAGCCCAGUGGGCUGGGAUUUGUGAGUUGAUGUUGCUGAUUAGGUUGCAGCUGUGGAGCUCCAUCAUGGACACUAGUGUCAAGCACAGUGGAGAUGACUAGCCUGUUUGUUAUACAUGAAGUAAUACUGAAAAUAAAAGUUAUUUAAAAAUGCAAGUUGCUGUACUUAAUAGUAUGACAACAAAUGUGUUGGGAGGAAAGAUGCUCAGUGAGGCUGACUCUAGGGAAAAUUGAGGGUAAAACCUGUUGCUAAAGUGAUAACACAGUAUCUGCUACCAGAUAGUGUUCUGUCAAUAUGUGGGUAACAUGAUUUAUUUAUCCAUUUACAAAUUGAAGGACUUUGGGUUGUUUCAAGUGUUUCUGGCAAUGCUAAAUA